Molecule: ribosomal RNA, 356 nt
Filed under: uncultured bacterium
Lineage: Bacteria
Description: bacterial SSU rRNA
Rfam family: Bacterial small subunit ribosomal RNA
Source: RNAcentral
AACGAACGCUGGCGGCAGGCCUCAAACAUGCAAGUCUAGGGGGUGCAGCAAUGCAUCACCGGCGGACGGGUGCGUAACGCGUGGGAAUAUACCUUUUGGUUCGGAACAACUGCGGGAAACUGCAGCUAAUACCGAAUGUGCCCUAACGGGGAAAGAUUUAUCGCCAAAGGAUUAGCCCGCGUAGGAUUAGCUAGUUGGUGAGGUAAUGGCUCACCAAGGCUCCGAUCCUUAGCUGUUCGAGAGAAGAUCAGCCACACUGGGACUGAGACACGGCCCAGACUCCUACGGGAGGCAGCAGUUGGGAAUCUUGGACAAUGGGGGAAACCCUGAUCCAGCCAUGCCGCGUGAGUGAUGAA